AUGUUUUGACAGCAGAUGUCCUAAAAAUGGAAUGAUACAAAAAGUGUUAGCAUGGUCUCUGCACAAGGAUGACAUACAAAACCAUGAAGUGUUCCAUAUAAAA
This 103-nucleotide small nuclear RNA is filed under the name Phascolarctos cinereus (koala). The record is from RNAcentral. Lineage: Eukaryota; Metazoa; Chordata; Mammalia; Diprotodontia; Phascolarctidae.